GAUGAACGCUAGCGGCAGGCCUAACACAUGCAAGUCGAGGGAGGAGCUUUCGGGCUUCGACCGGCGUACGGGUGCGUAACGCGUAUACAAUCUGCCUUUCACAUAGGGAUAGCCCGAAGAAAUUUGGAUUAAUACCUAAUGGUAUAUAGGAGUGGCAUCACAUUUAUAUUAAAGCUGAGGCGGUGAAAGAUGAGUAUGCGUUCUAUUAGCUAGUUGGAGAGGUAACGGCUCCCCAAGGCGACGAUAGAUAGGGGUUCUGAGAGGGAUAUCCCCCACACUGGUACUGAGAUACGGACCAGACUCCUACGGGAGGCAGCAGUGAGGAAUAUUGGACAAUGGUCGGAAGACUGAUCCAGCCAUGCCGCGUGCAGGAAGACGGCCUUAUGGGUUGUAAACUGCUUUUGCAGGGGAAGAAUAAGGACUACGAAUAGUUUGAUGACGGUACUCUGCGAAUAAGCAUCGGCUAACUCCGUG
This 474-nucleotide ribosomal RNA is filed under the name uncultured bacterium. Its description in RNAcentral is "partial 16S ribosomal RNA". It matches the Rfam family "Bacterial small subunit ribosomal RNA", at positions 28 to 507 of the family's 1533-position model. The record is from RNAcentral.